This 807-nucleotide ribosomal RNA is filed under the name uncultured euryarchaeote. RNAcentral describes it as "bacterial SSU rRNA". It matches the Rfam family "Archaeal small subunit ribosomal RNA", at positions 52 to 859 of the family's 1478-position model. Lineage: Archaea; Methanobacteriati; Methanobacteriota. The record is from RNAcentral.
UGCUAGUUGCACGAGUUGAGACUCGUAGCAGAUAGCUCAGUAACACGUGGCCAAACUACCCUAUGGAUCCGGACAACCUCGGGAAACUGAGGCUAAUCCGGAAUACGACUCUCAGCCUGGAAGUGGCGGGAGUCAGAAACGCCCCGGCGCCAUAGGAUGUGGCUGCGGCCGAUUAGGUAGACGGUGGGGUAACGGCCCACCGUGCCCAUAAUCGGUACGGGUUGUGAGAGCAAGAACCCGGAGACGGUAUCUGAGACAAGAUACCGGGCCCUACGGGGCGCAGCAGGCGCGAAACCUUUACACUGCACGAAAGUGCGAUAAGGGGACUCCAAGUGCGAGGGCAUAUAGUCCUCGCUUUUCACCACCGUAAGGAGGUGGUAGAAUAAGUGCUGGGCAAGACCGGUGCCAGCCGCCGCGGUAAUACCGGCAGCACGAGUGAUGACCGCUCUUAUUGGGCCUAAAGCGUCCGUAGCUGGCCACGCAAGUCUAUCGGGAAAUCCGCGCGCUCAACGCGCGGGCGUCCGGUGGAAACUGUGUGGCUUGGGACCGGAAGAUCCAGAGGGUACGUCUGGGGUAGGAGUGAAAUCCCGUAAUCCUGGACGGACCACCGGUGGCGAAAGCGCUCUGGAAAGACGGAUCCGACGGUGAGGGACGAAAGCUCGGGUCACGAACCGGAUUAGAUACCCGGGUAGUCCGAGCUGUAAACGAUGUCUGCUAGAUGUGCCACAGGCUACGAGCCUGUGGUGUGUCGUAGGGAAGCCGUGAAGCAGACCGCCUGGGAAGUACGUCCGCAAGGAUGAAACUUAA